GAUGAACGCUGGCGGCGUGCCUAAUACAUGCAAGUCGAGCGAACAGACGAGGAGCUUGCUCCUCUGACGUUAGCGGCGGACGGGUGAGUAACACGUGGAUAACCUACCUAUAAGACUGGGAUAACUUCGGGAAACCGGAGCUAAUACCGGAUAAUAUAUUGAACCGCAUGGUUCAAUAGUGAAAGACGGUUUUGCUGUCACUUAUAGAUGGAUCCGCGCCGCAUUAGCUAGUUGGUAAGGUAACGGCUUACCAAGGCAACGAUGCGUAGCCGACCUGAGAGGGUGAUCGCCCACACUGGAGCUGAGACACGGUCCAGACUCCUACGGGAGGCAGCAGUAGGGAAUCUUCCGCAAUGGGCGAAAGCCUGACGGAGCAACGCCGCGUGAGUGAUGAAGGUCUUCGGAUCGUAAAACUCUGUUAUUAGGGAAGAACAAAUGUGUAAGUAACUAUGCACGUCUUGACGGUACCUAAUCAGAAAGCCACGGCUAACUACGUG
This 497-nucleotide ribosomal RNA is filed under the name uncultured bacterium. Its description in RNAcentral is "partial 16S ribosomal RNA". It matches the Rfam family "Bacterial small subunit ribosomal RNA", at positions 28 to 507 of the family's 1533-position model. The record is from RNAcentral.